CCUACGGGAGGCAGCAGUGAGGAAUCUUGGUCAAUGGCCGAGAGGCUGAACCAGCCAAGUCGCGUGAGGGAAGAAUGUCCUCUGGUUUGUAAACCUCGUUUGUCAGGGAGCAAAGUCACCCACGUGUGGGUUUUGGAGAGUACCUGAAGAAAAAGCAUAGGCUAACGCCGUGCCAGCAGCCGCGGUAAUACUGAGGAUUCGAGCGUUAUCCGGAUUUAGUGGGUUUAAAGGGUGCGUAGGCGGGUUAUCAAGUCAGCGGUAAAAUCUUGGAGCUAAACUACAUCCAGCCGUUGAGACUGAUGAUCGUGAGUGGGCGAGAAGUAUGCGGAAUGCGUGGUGUAGCGGUGAAAUGCAUAGAUAUCACGCAGAACUCCGAUUGCGAAGGCAGCAUACCGGCGCCCGACUGACGCUGAAGCACGAAAGCGUGGGUAUCGAACAGGAUUAGAUACCCGAGUAGUC
RNAcentral lists this ribosomal RNA (459 nucleotides) under uncultured bacterium. RNAcentral describes it as "partial 16S ribosomal RNA". It matches the Rfam family "Bacterial small subunit ribosomal RNA", at positions 338 to 795 of the family's 1533-position model. The record is from RNAcentral.